GACUAAUAGAUUUUCAUACGGAUUAACAAAAUUUCUGUCUAGUCAGUCCGGUCAAACUAAUAAAAAGUUUUGCUUAAAAAAUGUGUAAAUUAACGAUGUGUGAUUGUCGACAUUUUAAUGGAAAACCCUGACUGUAUUUUUAUUAUCUAGCAUAUGAUACAUUGCAGUGAUUAUAGAGUUACCGAGCAAAACAACAGAGGUAUGCAGGAUAUUAUGGGUGACUUGAUUAUUUCUUUGCCUUAAGGGGAUGUCCGAGAAAAUUAAUAGGUUACAAGCGCAUGUGUUCACAACAACAGCUUCGAAAGGGACUUUAUGUGUUUUUAAAAAAUAUAGGUGAAACGAAUCUCCUGUGAGUUGUUUAAUUUAAAUGAAUUGUUUUACGUUAAAUAAUUUGUGAUAAAUUGCUUAUUAUUUUAAACAGAUUUUUAAAGAACUUAAACAAUGAAAAGAACAAGGUAGCUCAUAGCCUGGGUCUAAUUUGCAUAGAUCUAUUUAUAACAUCUGUAAUGGCGGCAUACACCUAGUACACAGAGAUAGUGAAUACGCAGCUCAUUGCUAUGUACUGCAUAGCACAAUACAACUAAACAUGUGCAACACCUGUAAGAAAAACAUUAUAGUGUAUAUUAUGCACCCCUUUCUUACAAAUGCUAUUUAAAAACUCCAUACUAUAUAUAAGGCAAAUACGGUAAUGCUUUUUAAUUUAUUUCUGACGGGCACAUAAAAUUGCCUGCGGACUAGUUAAAAUGAACAGGCACUAGUCCCGCUGGACUAAUGCAUCAAACAGUUAGUGUCGAACCCUGUGUUUGUCAGAUCCCGCGCUCUUGUAUUUAAAUAAAACUUUGCAAAUAAUAUUCUAAUUUUUGUUGCAAUGUUAUAUUUUAAAUGCAAUAAACAGAUAUUUCCUGUCUAUGCAAGAUAAAGGAAGGAGAGAGUCGAUUCUUUCAAGAAAGGAAUGGAUCUGUAUCAAAGGAAACAAGGAAAAUGGAAGUUAUACUAUAGACAGGCUGUCAGGCUGUAUUUAAACAAAAGACCUCCUGGGAUGAGGAGAAAAAGAAACAAGUAGAACCUGUAUUUCUUGUCGAGUACUUGAUGAUGUCAUCAGAAUAUGAAAAUGAUUGGGAAGAUGACACAAUAUAUGAAAUCACAUCUCUAAAGUGGCGCUCUGACGAAUGUUUAAUUGGACACCAAAAGUUCUGCUCUGAAAUCCAAAUGUUCAAAAAGGCAAAGUAUAAGACGUAUAAUGACCAACAAUGAAUCAUCUAGAGACAAACCAGAAAAUAUAUCAAAUGAACAGAAAUGGGCCAUUUGAGAUUUUUAAAAGAUCUCUGCAACUGUCAUGUAUAAUAAGCUCACCUGAGCUGAAAGUUAUUAUAUGGUUUUAAUGAUAUGCAAGCAUUUUGAUAUAUACAUUGUUGAUUGUAUAAAAUUGUUAACUCCGUCCCAUGGACAAUUUUUGUUCCUCGCAAGAGGUUCAUUCAUAUUUUGAUGUAGGUUUAUUAUCCAUGUAUAAAGAGUUGUUUAACACUUCUUGAGAACUGCAAAGCUCAAUAUGUGAUAUGACUGUAAAAUCAUUGCAAAAUAGCUUGAUGUAUUGUUGUAGUAUGAUGAACCUAAAAAUAUGCUGGGUAUUUUUUUAAAUACAGGAUCUGAUAUUACUUGUUAAACUCAUACUGUUAUGUAAAAGAAUAUUCAUUGUGUAUUUUUUUAUUGUUGAAUUUUUUUUAUGCUGAUCAAUUAUAGAUUAAAUUUGGCCAUUAUGAUUUUCAAUUUUUGUCAUAUUGGCAUGUAACCAAGUCAUACUUUUUUUAUCUCAAUUUAUUUACAAAUAUGUUUAAGUUUAUUUCCAGUAAUUAGUGCAUACAUCUCUAUAGCAUAAUAGAACUGAAGACAAUAGGAAGUUAUUUAUUUUUAAAGGGAGCUCUGUUGGCAGUUAGUUGCAGAUCUUGAUACCCAAGUAAGAGAAAGGUGGCGUCUCUGACCGAUCCUUUUGCUCUUUCUUGUGGGCGAGUGAGGCUUCCCUGUCAAAGGCUUGUAUAAGUUUAAAAUCAUAGAUCAAAUUAUAAACUAAACACAUAUAUGAGUGAUAUAAAGUGGUUAUUUUGAUGAAUAUUUUAUCAUAAUUUGUUUCUUUUGUUUUAAGUAAAGAGUUAAAGACUAGAUCUUUGAUAAUUUAUUGAGUAAAGAGUAGUUUUUAUGGACAUCUAGGCAGGACUUUUUGUAUGUAUAUCUUUCAGAGCUUGUUCCUGAAACUUGGGCGUAGACUAGACAAUUUACGGAAAAAAUACAAAUUUUAUCUCAAGUUAUUUUAUUCUACAUAUUUGUACAAGUUUCACUUAUAUAAUUUAUUAGCUUAAUCAGCCCUAUAGUGAACAAAAUUUGUUGUUAAAAAUAUACAGGAGACAAUGCAAGAGUAUUUUGAAAGGGCUUUGCUGGCAGUAAGUUGCAGAUCUUGAUACCCAAGUAAGAGAAAGGUGGUGUCUCUGACCGAUCCUUUUGCUCUUGCUUGUGGGCGAGUGAGGCUUCCCUGUCAGUUUCUUACAGAUGCAAGGAAUAAACAAACAAGACUUGAUAAGACAUUUCUGAGUAAAAUAAUGGGGAACUGUUUUCUUUUUAUGAUAAGUAAGAUUGAGUUGAAUAUUUAUAGUGUCAUAACUAUAUUUUACAUUCUGUACAUGCAUAUGCCAGGUCUUAUUUCAGACCUUAAUAGGAUAGACUAGAAGAAUUUUUAUUGAAAGUGAAUUUUAAGCAGGAGACAAUGAAAGAGUAUUUUAAAGGGCUUUGCUGGCAGUAAGUUGCAGAUCUUGAUACCCAAGUAAGAGAAAGGUGGUGUCUCAGACCGAUCCUUUUGCUCUUGCUUGUGGGCGAGUGAGGCUUCCCUGUCAGUUUCUUACAGAUGCAAGGAAUAAACAAACAAGACUUGAUAAGACAUUUCUGAGUAAAAUAAUGGGGAACUGUUUUCUUUUUAUGAUAAGUAAGAUUGAGUUGAAUAUUUAUAGUGUCAUAACUAUAUUUUACAUUCUGUACAUGCAUAUGCCAGGUCUUAUUUCAGACCUUAAUAGGAUAGACUAGAAGAAUUUUUAUUGAAAGUGAAUUUUAAGCAGGAGACAAUGAAAGAGUAUUUUAAAGGGCUUUGCUGGCAGUAAGUUGCAGAUCUUGAUACCCAAGUAAGAGAAAGGUGGUGUCUCAGACCGAUCCUUUUGCUCUUGCUUGUGGGCGAGUGAGGCUUCCCUGUCAGUUUCUUACAGAUGCAAGGAAUAAACAAACAAGACUUGAUAAGACAUUUCUGAGUAAAAUAAUGGGGAACUGUUUUCUUUUUAUGAUAAGUAAGAUUGAGUUGAAUAUUUAUAGUGUCAUAACUUUUUAAAAUUUUGUACAUGCAUAUGCUUGAUCUUAUUCCAGACCUUAUUAGGAUAGACUAGAAGAAUUUUAUUGAAUUUCCAUGAUUAAAAUUUACCAUUUCGCCAAAUUUUGAUAAUCAAUUAUUGUUUGCAUAUGAAGUGUGUGUAAAUUAAAAUUACUUUAUAUACGUUCCAAAAUGUUAACUGAAUAGUCUGGUCAUUAGAAUAUGUAUUUUUCUUUUCUGUAUAAUAAAUUUUUAAUAUAAUGUAAAACCUAGGGAAUUUUUUUUAAAAUCACAUGAAGUGUUUAAAAUUAGAGAUGCACAUGUACAUCCUAUUAUUGAACAAUUUGUUUAUUCAAUUUAGUAUAAUUUGGUAUUUGUAUGCAUCAUAUAUAUAAAUAUAUAGGGUUUUUUCAAUGCUAUUACAUAUAAUAUGAUUGUUAAUAUAUAUCUUCUCUGAAGUGGUUUUCAUGGGAACUCUUAUCUAUUUGCAGUUAUGAACUAUAGAGUAUGUAUGUAGUAUGUAUGUUUCUAUGAAAACAUGCUAUUUUCAAAAUACAUGUACUAGGAAAGAGAAUUUGUGUGUGCGUGUGUAUGUAUUUUAGUGACCAGUAAAUAAGUAAAAAAAAAAUUGAUUACUUCAGUAUUGUCAACUUUCAACAAUUGCUUUUCUUUAUCCACAUGCAUUAUAUAGAAAAAAUGACUUUGUGUUGUAAUUUAUGUUGUAUAUGAAAAUACGCAAGUUAAGCUAGAAUUUGUUAUUUGCAGACCAUGCAGCAAUUUUUAUUGGUCUGUUUCAGUUGUGGUUUUUUUCCUACUAGUCUAUAUAGAUUCCAUUAUUUCCAUUUAAUGUGUAUUAGCCUGCAUUUGCUUAAGUCAAAUGUGCAUUUCACAAUUCCAAAUUUGGACAUUUUACCUAAGUAUUUUUUAAGAACUAUAUCAGAAAUUGUAAUGGCAUCUAUUCCAUAUGUAUCUGAUCAUGACGUACGUAUUGUAAUUUUCUAAAUUGUGACUUUUAUGCUUAAAACUUUGAAAUGUUUUGCUCUGUAAGAAUACAUGUAUUUAUUUUUUUACAUCAUUGAGACUUUAACAUGCAAUAAAAUCGAAUCUUAAGUGGA
Long non-coding RNA from Magallana angulata, 4458 nucleotides. RefSeq lists it as uncharacterized. Lineage: Eukaryota; Metazoa; Mollusca; Bivalvia; Ostreida; Ostreidae. The record is from RefSeq and is a predicted model, not a curated record. The transcript has 2 exons.